AUUGAACGCUGGCGGCAUGCCUUACACAUGCAAGUCGAACGGCAGNACGGGAGCAAUCCUGGUGGCGAGUGGCGAACGGGUGAGUAAUAUAUCGGAACGUGCCCAGUCGUGGGGGAUAACGUAGCGAAAGCUACGCUAAUACCGCAUACGAUCUAUGGAUGAAAGCGGGGGAUCGCAAGACCUCGCGCGAUUGGAGCGGCCGAUAUCAGAUUAGGUAGUUGGUGAGGUAAAGGCUCACCAAGCCGACGAUCUGUAGCUGGUCUGAGAGGACGACCAGCCACACUGGGACUGAGACACGGCCCAGACUCCUACGGGAGGCAGCAGUGGGAAUUUUGGACAAUGGGCGCAAGCCUGAUCCAGCAAUGCCGCGUGCAGGAUGAAGGCCUUCGGGUUGUAAACUGCUUUUGUACGGAACGAAACGGUGAGCUCUAAUACAGUUUGCUAAUGACGGUACCGUAAGAAUAAGCACCGGCUAACUACGUG
This 483-nucleotide ribosomal RNA is filed under the name uncultured bacterium. RNAcentral's name for it is "bacterial SSU rRNA". It matches the Rfam family "Bacterial small subunit ribosomal RNA", at positions 30 to 507 of the family's 1533-position model. The record is from RNAcentral.